RNAcentral lists this long non-coding RNA (780 nucleotides) under Fukomys damarensis (Damara mole-rat). Its description in RNAcentral is "lncRNA (ENSFDAG00000026975.1)". The record is from RNAcentral. Lineage: Eukaryota; Metazoa; Chordata; Mammalia; Rodentia; Bathyergidae.
CAGUAUCAGUAAGAACAUUCAAAAGUAUUGAAAUUCUGGAUUAUUUUGCCACCUUGCCCCCUCCCUCCCUACUUCCGUCACGUCUGGAAAAGUGGUUUGUGUGACAUUUGCGUUCUUUGCAAAAUAUCUCGACAGUGAAGUUGCUUCAAUGUCUUCCCUUGUGUGGGAGUACUGGGAAUGAUCAUUGCCCUGACACGUCACAGAUUGUUUCUGGAGCCUCGGCUCUGGGCCACUGUGAGUCAGUGAUCCCUUCAGUUCUGGGGCUGGCCUGGUGUUAAUGUUCACUUCACCCAGUCCCCAUGGGAUCUAGAUGCUUGGUUCAAAGGGGUGCUCUGCCCUGGGUGGUCCUGAGGCUCUGACCUUCCUCCACCUCCCAGGCCCGAACUGGAUCUUGAAGGAGGUGGAGUAGGGGAGGGUGGGUUGUCAUUGGCUAAGGUUCUUGUCCUCCUGGAAUUUGGCACUUCGAGUGCUGGGCACGGUGAAUCCCAGAUAACAUCGUCUUCCAUCGUCCAAGUUUUGAGUUCCAUUGGCAGCCAGAUGGCAUAAUGAAUUCACUGAGAAGCAGUGCCUCUGGGCCAAGAAUGUGCAGGAGCUGUGCCAGCACCCUCUCCUUUAACUCUCCGAAGACUUGCUGGCCGAUCAGCUCGCUCAACACACAGACAUACAAUGCAGCCCCACCCUUGGGUGCCUGAGCCAGGGGAGGAGACACCGUCAGUGCUCACGCCAGAGGCACAUGAAGGCCGCGGACACCAUCUCGGCUGCCACCACCCUCUCCCAAAG